RNAcentral lists this ribosomal RNA (495 nucleotides) under uncultured bacterium. Its description in RNAcentral is "bacterial SSU rRNA". It matches the Rfam family "Bacterial small subunit ribosomal RNA", at positions 28 to 511 of the family's 1533-position model. The record is from RNAcentral.
GAUGAACGCUAGCUACAGGCUUAACACAUGCAAGUCGCGGGGCAGCAUGUCGGUUGCUUGCAACCGAUGAUGGCGACCGGCGCACGGGUGAGUAACGCGUAUCCAACCUUCCCAUGUCCACGGGAUAGCCCGUCGAAAGGCGGAUUAAUACCGUAUGAGGUCACAUGCGGGCAUCUAAUUGUGACGAAAGGUUUAGCGGACAUGGAUGGGGAUGCGUCCGAUUAGCUAGUUGGCGGGGUAACGGCCCACCAAGGCGACGAUCGGUAGGGGUUCUGAGAGGAAGGUCCCCCACAUUGGAACUGAGACACGGUCCAAACUCCUACGGGAGGCAGCAGUGAGGAAUAUUGGUCAAUGGAGGCAACUCUGAACCAGCCAAGUAGCGUGCAGGAUGACGGCCCUAUGGGGUUGUAAACUGCUUUUAUGCGGGGAUAAAUUGACUCACGUGUGGGUCAUUGCAGGUACCGCAUGAAUAAGGACCGGCUAAUUCCGUGCCAG